AGGCCGGGACUGGCUGUGUGGUGCUCACGCCUGCCAGCCGGCCGGUGUUUGUAGCAUAGUGCAUUGAUGGAAGUUUUGAAAUGCAAGACUUCUACCAAAGAAACUGCGGCAGGAAUCAAUAUUUAAGAGAUCGGUGAGGAAAGACGGUGGAAGUUUUGCCUGCUUCCUUGAAAGCAGCGUCUGGCUCCCUGGCAGACUGUGUUGCUAACGCAUUUCCUUGGCACGUGCAGUGAAUUGAUUCCUCCUUGUGACUUGCCCGAUAUAGCAAUGGGAGAGUACAGCGAUUCGGCUGAGGCACAGACACAUGUCGUGUCCCCCCCUUAGGAAACCCCAGGGAUGUGCCUGGAUCUCUGAGGUCCUGCUUACACAGCCUGGACUGGUGAAGGACCUGCCCCUUCGGGGUACCCAGCUGUUGGGGCUGGCUGGAUCUCGGCGUGCAGCCACCCUCCUGGAAGGAUGGGGCUGAGGGGCAGGGGGGGAUCUGGCUCUCGUUUAACAGCCCCGCGCUCUGUUACUGCCGACAGCUUGUGCGAGGAAGCAGAAGGAAGUGCGAAAACGCCGGUAGUGUUAAAUCCAGUAUGGACUAUAUGCAACAUCAUGGUGACAGGUGCUUUCUGUCCUCUGGUCUCCUGCAAUCAUCGAAGAUUUUUUCAGUCUCCUCCUACACGCCACUCCCCCACCCCCCACUGCCAUGUAUCCUGAGCAUAUUACAGUCUUCCUUUCCUCUCUCAGGAGGUACGGCUCAGAGCUCUCGGCUAACGCUGUACCUUUCUAAGGAGAAAAUCCUGCGUCCUGCCUUUGAGCUUAAAGAAUUAAAGAACGAAACAGCUCAGAGUAAUCACCCAAGACGAAAAAGACCUGCUGCCCUUCCUGCUCGACAACCGGCACUUGUUCCAGGCAGAGCCGUGCCUUGGGGACCGAGCAGCUGUGCUGACCAUGAGCGAGCAGAGUCACGUCAACAGCCUGUUCCUCAACGAGGACGCAGCCAAGAGGCUCAAUGCAGAGAGCCGGGUCCAGCGCCUUCGGCAGGCGGUGCAGAAACGGGCAGCGCGGGCCAAGAAGCGGAUGCACAGCAUCACUGCUGACAGCGCUAAAAGCUUCUUCAGGAGAAAUGCCUUUGUCCUCUUCACCAUUGCUGCAGUCUUACUAGGAAUCAUCCUGGCGUUUUCCCUCCGGCCCUACCAGCUGACCUAUCGCCAGAUCAAGUAUUUCUCCUUCCCCGGCGAGCUCCUGAUGCGUAUGCUUCAGAUGUUGGUUCUUCCUCUCAUUGUCUCUAGCUUGAUUACAGGGAUGGCCUCGCUGGAUGGCAGAGCCUCAGGGAAGAUGGGGAUGCGGGCUGUUGUCUACUACAUGGUGACCACAAUCAUAGCAGUCUUCAUUGGCAUCCUAAUGGUGAUCAUCAUCCACCCAGGAAAAGGAUCUAAGGACAAGCUUCACCGAGAAGGCAGAAUUGAGCAGGUGCAGACCACAGAUGCCUUCAUGGACUUGGUGAGGAAUAUGUUCCCGCCCAACCUGGUAGAAGCCUGCUUCAAACAGUACAAGACGCAGUACAGCACCAGGGUCUUCACCAGAACUGUCCUCCGCAGCAGCAAUGUCACAGCAGGUGUGACAACCACUCAGAUCCCUGUGCCUGAGAACUUCACCGGCAUCCUGGAGAACGUCACUCAUGCCCUGGGGACCGUCUCCGAGGUGCUGACCUUUGAAGAAGUCAUUCCCAUCCCGGGCUCAGCCAAUGGGGUGAACGCACUGGGGCUGGUAGUGUUCUCCAUGUGCUUCGGUUUGGUGAUCGGCAGCAUGAAGCAGAAGGGACGGGCCCUGCGGGAGUUCUUUAACUGCCUCAACGAAGCCAUCAUGAGGCUGGUGGCCAUUAUCAUCUGGUAUGCUCCAGUUGGGAUCAUGUUUUUAAUUGCUGGCAAAAUCUUGGAGAUGGAUGACCUAGCAGUGAUGGGAGGCCAGCUGGGGAUGUACACGCUCACCGUCAUCGUUGGACUCCUCAUUCAUGCCCUCUGCAUCCUGCCACUGCUCUACUUCAUCGUCACUCACAGAAACCCCUGGGUAUUCAUCGCAGGGCUUCUGCAGGCCCUCAUCACAGCCCUGGGCACCUCCUCAAGCUCAGCGACUCUGCCCAUCACCUUCAGGUGCCUGGAAGAAAACAAUGGUGUGGACAGGCGCAUCACGAGGUUUGUUCUGCCCGUGGGAGCUACAAUUAACAUGGAUGGCACUGCUCUGUAUGAGGCCCUUGCAGCCAUCUUCAUUGCACAAGUCAACAACUAUGAACUUGACUUCGGGCAGAUCAUCACAAUAAGCAUCACUGCCACGGCAGCCAGCAUCGGAGCCGCGGGUAUUCCCCAGGCAGGACUAGUGACUAUGGUUAUAGUGUUGACAUCAGUGGGGCUGCCUACUGAAGACAUUACGCUGAUCAUCGCUGUGGACUGGUUUCUGGACCGCCUUAGAACGACCACCAAUGUCUUGGGGGAUUCUCUGGGGGCUGGCAUUGUGGAGCAUCUUUCCCGGCAUGAGCUGGAUGCGCAGGACUGCGAACUUGGUAAUUCUGUGAUAGAGGAGAAAGAGCAGCUCUCCCACCUGGUUUGCCCACAGAACGACACCCACAGGCACCCCAGGAGCGAGACAGCACUGUGAAAUCGGGCAGCAGAGUGCAGAUUAAUGCUGUAAAAAGCCAAGACUUGAAACAGCAAGUCCAUAGUGGAGAACAGAGAAAUACCCACUCUCCAAGAUGCACACUUUUCUCCCCUCUCUUCCACAUGCAGUCUUCCCUGGUCCCACUUCUCCCCCACCUCUUUUUGACUGACAUUAAAGAGGAGAAAAUUAAACAGCAAAGAAGUUUUAUUCCACAAAAGCCUGAUUUAGUCAUUCUUACGAGGUCCAAAAGUUAGACCCAAGUAAAGAAGACUCAGUGAACGAGCUGGAAUAGGAUCUCCUUCAUUUCUGAGCUAAACCGAGAGCACAGCUAAGUGGCAAGGUGGGUCGGGGACACCACCACCUGCGGACUGGCACCAAAAUGUUGCCAUGAUGACUCCACCCAGCAGGAUACAGCUGCAAAGCCUUCACUCGGUCAGUGCCUUCCCCCGAGCAUGUAAAGCUUUUAGCUUUGGCCGUUUGGAGAUCUCUGGAGAGCCCCAGCACUCCUGUCCAGCUUUUCACUGGCAAGAGUGAUUAUGAUAAACGCAGUGUCCUCCUUGCUCGCGGUCCUGGUGUUUGCACGGAUACGCAGAUGAUGCUUCCUGAGAGCUUCUCACUCUGGCAACCCUUCUGGCUGCAGAUACCAAUGUCACCCAGCUCCUGAAGGAAUGUGGGACCAUACAGCAGGGCCAGGGCUUACUGGGCUGGCUGGUAGCACUAAUAGAGGUCAACAGGCUUUUUGUUAGUUGAAGAUGCUAAAGGAUUGUGAAAGCAGUGAACAAUUAAAGAAUUUAUUAUAUCCGUUAUUCAGCCUCUGAAACAGCUCUCCCCUCUGCCAAGCUCUGGCGAACACCAGUUAACUUCAUUUCUCUUUAGCAAGCUGUUCUCCUCUUGGUGAAACCAGAAGGGGAAACAAAGAUUAAACAGUUUGCCCACCUGAGCAGCUGGGCGGUACCUCCAUGCCAGGAAUGACUCCACCACCCCAGAUUUGCUCAGAAAACAGUUUCACUCCUCAUCAUAAGACUCCGAAGGAAACUGUUCCUUUGCUCAUCUUUGGCUAUUUUCAGACGUGACUUCCCUUCAGUCACGUUGCUCCAGACUGUGCUUCAAAAUGUCUCUGUCUUUCUACAGCUCCUAUCUUUCCUAGGCAGUACCCAAUCACAUCCCCAACACUUGCCAGACCCCAAACUUAUAAAUUCAGGAUAAAUUUCUCAGAGCUCAGCUUCUGUUUAACACACUUGGACAUAAGCCCACACAACAUCCAAAACAUCUCAGAGGCUCAAGCAAGAAGCAGGGACCUGCUUCAUCUGUGCUUUAUCCCCCUUCCCUGGCGUGGCCGGGAACACAGCCUGUAUCUCUCGCUCCAGCGAACAGGACCAGCAGGGCUUGCUCCAUAAUAUCCAGGUCUACGAACAUCCAGAAAACGAAUGUCUAGAUACAAUCAGGAAGACGGAAAGGAUACGCAGUUUUUCGCCUACUGCAGCGUAGCUGUCCUGCUUUAGAAACGGCUCGGCCCAGAAGAGCAGCAGCACACCCGAACUAUCUAAAAUGGGCAGCUUUUACUUGAGGUCUUCUCAUUAUUCCAGACCCCGUAUAUCACUUAAACCCCUCUACCCUGGCUUUCCACACUGAUCCUUUUCACCCAGGAGUCCUAGCCUUACAGUCAGGGGUGCACCUAAGUGGACCUCAGGAAGGAAGACCUGAGAGGCACCAGCUGGAGUCAACUUUGCCAACCACCACCGCGCAACUGCCCGUGCUUAGCUCCCCAGCACUAACAAAACUUCCUAAAAUACAGUUCUUGACAUGUCCAAAGCCAGAUCCUGAGGCUCUUUUAGUCCUUCGGGAACUGUAGGAUUAUAUGUUGGUGCUGCCACAUUCCACAUCCUGUGGGCAGAGUAUUCUGGUUUUAUGGGCUGGAGGAUUGUUGGGAAUCUGAGAGAAAUGGACAAAUGCAUCUCUUUGACAUAAAAGCGGGUAACAGAGCAGGGUAAACCGAAGUGUUCCAUUUAGCAGUGGUUGGCCCCAGGCCCCAAGGCAGCAGGCUGUUUCCUGACUGUGGGAGGCAGGUUGCUUAUUCUGACACGAGAUCUGCUCUAGCAGGGGGCAAACUAAACAGACCCAGUAUGCCCUCACAGACUAUUUGUCCAACUUCUCAAGAAAGCAUUGAAUUCUAAUCCUGAAGAGACUUCCUGUAUAUAACGGGCAAACUGAUGGAUGAAUUGGAAGAAAAGAUUGUUGGAUUGGACUCUAGCUCAAAUGCGAAUUAAUUCGGGGAAGUCCUAUGGCUUGAGUUAUACAGAGAGUCAAACUAGAUGAUCAUAAGGGUCCCUUCUGGCUUUAUAAUAUAUGCACGUGCUUUCUGGUUUAGAGAUAUUGCAAAGGGUCCUUCCAGCCCAAUCAUUUUCAAAAGCUAUCUGGAAGGAUCCUAAUGAUACUUUAAUAAAACUCAGCAGGCGUCUGACCUGUUUUCAGUUCUUGUUAGCAGACAUGUAAACAUAUCACAAAAGGGGCUCUCCAUACCUCAUCGCAUCAACGUGAUCUCAGAUGUUCCCACAAAGUAGUACGCUCCAAGCCUUGCCAUUUGUGAUUUCCUGCUUUCGACACGAGAUUAAUGGAGCACAAACCAGUAGAGGCCUCAUUUCCAAAUACUGCAAGCCAGUCUCCCACGGGGAAUUUCAAAAUUCAGCUGAUUGAUAGUUCCUAGCUCUGGUGUUUACCCAUGUUGUUAACCAAUUUAUGAUUGGGAUUAUCUAUCUGUUUACACUAUCUGAAUAGUAAAGUAUUGUCAGGAAUUUGCAUAUAUAUAUAUACACACCUCUCCAUAUAUAUAUAUAUAUAUAUGAAAGGGGUGCAUGUGCACAAACAUACAUAUACACAGAGUUAUUUUUUUUGUUGCUAAUCCAAGAAGGAAAGGCAACACUAAACUCUCACUCUGUAAAGCUGCGUACUUCAUUUUGAUGCCCACCUUGAUUUACCCAACUAAUCCCGCCCUCAAAAUAACAGAGGCCGUUUUACUUCGUUCCAGUAAUGAGUCUUCCAAAGCAAGGUUUACCAGGAAGGAGCUCAGUGCACGCUGAUUUUGAGUUGUACCUGCUGGUGACGUGAUGAGAACUUGUCGAUGUAUAGAGAGUGUAUAUAUCUCCACUUCGUCUUUGACUUCCCUGCGCAUAUCCCAAGGACCCACAUCCCCUCUGCAUCUGACUUUAGGAGCUCAGCCAAGAAUACAAAAGUGUCUGUACUCCUUCCAAACCCAAUGCUGACCUUGUACUAACUCAGCCUUCAAAACUGGAUAACAGAAAGUAUGAAAUAAUUUUAUCAACUCUCUUUUUAAAUUAUCAGGUAUUCGAGUUUGUGCAGUCUUUACUGCGGUCCCGCUGCUUCUACUUGCAGAAACUUUCUGAGUUUCUCCUAUUUGCAAACAGAUUUAUUCCUAAUGAUUAGAUGGGCAACAUUUGGGAUGAAACACAGAGCUGUCUCAAUGCAUACAUACAUGAGGAGCUCUUGGAUUAGGACACAUCUCUUCAAAAUUAAUUUUAAGAGAGAAAAUCCAUGGAGAAUACGGAUUUUCAGAUGAUAGGCCAUGUGUCACUUUAUGUGUGUGAUGCGUGCACGUUGUUUCAGGAGUCAGAUCUGCCCACGAAAACUGCCCUGAAAUUGUGUGUCCUUCUUCUGCUCUGCCCCAGAAAGAAAGAGGCAAUUGGAACUCGGCGCUGUACGGCGUGUUCAUAGCAUUCUGGCAGUUUGACUAUGUUAAUUCCUGAGGGCUUUUUCUUCAUGCUGUGAGUUUCAGUGUUAAUAAAGAUAGUUUGCAUAUUUGAAAAAUAAAGGGAAU
This is an RNA transcript of Chroicocephalus ridibundus (black-headed gull), 6472 nucleotides long. It is a transcript of the gene named excitatory amino acid transporter 4-like, with no coding region annotated. NCBI's taxonomy places the organism in Eukaryota, Metazoa, Chordata, Aves, Charadriiformes, Laridae. The transcript is spliced from 12 exons. The record is from RefSeq and is a predicted model, not a curated record.